AUUGAUUUUAUGCUUGCAUAAAUGAUUUUUUGGAUUCGGAGCGAGUGGCGAACUGGUGAGUAACACGUGGGUAACCUGCCCCGAAGCGGGGGAUAACAUUUGGAAACAAGUGCUAAUACCGCAUAAUUAGUUGGAACCGCAUGGUUCCAACUUGAAAGAUGGCUCUGCUAUCACUUUGGGAUGGACCCGCGCCGUAUUAGUUAGUUGGUGAGAUAAAAGCCCACCAAGACGAUGAUACGUAGCCGACCUGAGAGGGUAAUCGGCCACAUUGGGACUGAGACACGGCCCAGACUCCUACGGGAGGCAGCAGUAGGGAAUCUUCCACAAUGGACGAAAGUCUGAUGGAGCAACGCCGCGUGAGUGAUGAAGGUUUUCGGAUCGUAAAACUCUGUUGUUAAAGAAGAACAAGUGUUAGAGUAACCGUUAACACUUUGACGGUAUUUAACCAGAAAGCCACGGCUAACUACGUGCCAGCAGCCGCGGUAAUACGUAGGUGGCAAGCGUUGUCCGGAUUUAUUGGGCGUAAAGCGAGCGCAGGCGGUUUUGUAAGUCUGCUGUGAAAGCCCUCAGCUCAACUGAGGAAGUGCAGUGGAAACUACAAAACUUGAGUACAGAAGAGGAAAGUGGAACUCCAUGUGUAGCGGUGAAAUGCGUAGAUAUAUGGAAGAACACCAGUGGCGAAGGCGGCUUUCUGGUCUGUUACUGACGCUGAGGCUCGAAAGCAUGGGUAGCGAACAGGAUUAGAUACCCUGGUAGUCCAUGCCGUAAACGAUGAAUACUAGGUGUUGGAGGGUUUCCGCCCUUCAGUGCCGCAGCUAACGCAUUAAGUAUUCCGCCUGGGGAGUACGACCGCAAGGUUGAAACUCAAAGGAAUUGACGGGGGCCCGCACAAGUGGUGGAGCAUGUGGUUUAAUUCGAUGCUACGCGAAGAACCUUACCAGCUCUUGACAUCUUCUGCCAGCCCAAGAGAUUGGGCGUUCCCUUCGGGGACAGAAUGACAGGUGGUGCAUGGUUGUCGUCAGCUCGUGUCGUGAGAUGUUGGGUUAAGUCCCGCAACGGGCGCAACCCUUAUUAUUAGUUGCCAGCAUUUAGUUGGGCACUCUAGUGAGACUGUCGGUGAUAAA
This 1124-nucleotide ribosomal RNA is filed under the name uncultured bacterium. RNAcentral describes it as "bacterial SSU rRNA". It matches the Rfam family "Bacterial small subunit ribosomal RNA", at positions 47 to 1162 of the family's 1533-position model. The record is from RNAcentral.